Molecule: ribosomal RNA, 468 nt
Filed under: uncultured bacterium
Lineage: Bacteria
Description: partial 16S ribosomal RNA
Rfam family: Bacterial small subunit ribosomal RNA
Source: RNAcentral
GACGAACGCUGGCGGCGUGCUUAACACAUGCAAGUCGAACGGAAAGGCCCUGCUUUUGUGGGGUGCUCGAGUGGCGAACGGGUGAGUAACACGUGAGUAACCUGCCCUUGACUUUGGGAUAACUUCAGGAAACUGGGGCUAAUACCGGAUAGGAGCUCCUGCUGCAUGGUGGGGGUUGGAAAGUUUCGGCGGUUGGGGAUGGACUCGCGGCUUAUCAGCUUGUUGGUGGGGUAGUGGCUUACCAAGGCUUUGACGGGUAGCCGGCCUGUGAGGGUGACCGGACACAUUGGGACUGAGAUACGGCCCAGACUCCUACGGGAGGCAGCAGUGGGGAAUAUUGCACAAUGGGCGGAAGCCUGAUGCAGCAACGCCGCGUGCGGGAUGACGGCCUUCGGGUUGUAAAACGCUUUCGCCUGUGACGAAGCGUGAGUGACGGUAAUGGGUAAAGAAGCACCGGCUAACUACGUG